AGUCAGGUAUGCCGUCAAAGGCAUGGACCCGGGCUUCAGGCCUGGGCUUUCGCGGCGUUCUGGUUCUGAUUCCAGAGCUCCACCC
This 85-nucleotide transfer RNA is filed under the name Achromobacter sp. 2789STDY5608621. RNAcentral describes it as "tRNA-seC(tca)". Lineage: Bacteria; Pseudomonadati; Pseudomonadota; Betaproteobacteria; Burkholderiales; Alcaligenaceae. The record is from RNAcentral.